Molecule: unclassified non-coding RNA, 221 nt
Filed under: Hevea brasiliensis (rubber tree)
Lineage: Eukaryota; Viridiplantae; Streptophyta; Magnoliopsida; Malpighiales; Euphorbiaceae
Source: RNAcentral
UAUAGAAGAAAACGAUUUAAAGAACAAAAAGGGAGAAUGGACUGCAAAAACUCUGAAUGUACUGUUAUGUAACUCCUUCAGCCAUCUAAUGGAGGUUUGCACCUGAUACCAAAACAUAGUAGUACAUGGUCAAUUAAAGGAAACCUGCCGACGGUGUGAAGGCUUGAAGACUAUUGGCACAAGAAGUUACUUAUUUUGUGUGGGAUUGGAAGUGCUUGGAG